Molecule: long non-coding RNA, 634 nt
Filed under: Ananas comosus (pineapple)
Lineage: Eukaryota; Viridiplantae; Streptophyta; Magnoliopsida; Poales; Bromeliaceae
Description: long non-coding RNA (ACOM_LNC016061)
Source: RNAcentral
AUGUUAUUAUACUAAGUAAUUGUGGCUUAAUUACUACAAUCACUACAACAAAAACGGUCUAUAGCGACACUUUUAAAUGUAGGUACAUGUCAAAAAAGUGCUGCUAACUAAAAUUACCAACACUUUUAAAAAGUGUUGGUAUAUGUGGGGUCGCUAGGUAUAUAGUGACAAUUAAAGAGUGUCGCUAUAACCUAAAAGAGUGCUGCUAAUUUACCAACACUUAUUUAAGCAUUUAGCAACCGCCGAAACUCUAUCACGUUGGUUGCAGUGGCGCAGGAGGAUGACAGGAAAGACUCUUCGUCUAGAAUUUCAGUGGAUUGAGUGAAAAGAGAAGAAAAUAUGAUAAUUAAUUUUUUCUUUUUUUUUUCUUUUCUGUUUGUAAUCGGGUCAAAUGAACUGGGUGUGGUGGGUUGAGUAGAGUAAUCUUUUAUUUUUGGUUGGAUUGGACUUUAUAUUUAGGCAUAAGUAGAUAUUUUUUUAAGUUUUAGCAUAAAUGAGAUACUUACUCAAAAAUGUUCCAAACAUGUGUCCCUAUAACCUAAUUCUGUUGUAGUGAAAAUAUCAACAUUUGAGAUGUUAGUGUCUUGUAUAUAUCAAUAAACCAAACAAAGCAUGCAACAAGAGGGGGUUUUAG